UACGGGGGGGGCAAGCGUUGUUCGGAAUUACUGGGCGUAAAGCGCACGUAGGCGGACUCUUAAGUCAGGGGUGAAAUCCUGGAGCUCAACUCCAGAACUGCCUUUGAUACUGGGAGCCUUGAGUUCGGGAGAGGUGAGUGGAACUGCGAGUGUAGAGGUGAAAUCCGUAGAUAUUCGCAAGAACACCAGUGGCGAAGGCGGCUCACUGGCCCGAUACUGACGCUGAGGUGCGAAAGCGUGGGGAGCAAACAGG
This 253-nucleotide ribosomal RNA is filed under the name uncultured bacterium. RNAcentral's name for it is "partial 16S ribosomal RNA". It matches the Rfam family "Bacterial small subunit ribosomal RNA", at positions 524 to 776 of the family's 1533-position model. The record is from RNAcentral.